GAUAAGAAGUGUGAGAAUACUUACAAGGGGAGAUAGAGUCAACGUUUGUAAUGGCUCAGCCAUUCCCAGUCCUUAUUCAAUCCUAAAUUGAUUGUAUCUAGUUUGCAUAUCAAUUCCAGCUCAGCAGUCUCUCGUUGGAGUCUGUUUUUGAAGUUUUUCUGUUGUAAUAUAGCCACCCGCAGGUCUGACAUUGAAUGGCCAGACAGGUUAAAGUGUUCUCCCACUGGUUUUUGAGUAUUAUGAUUCCUGAUGUCAGAUUUGUGUCCAUUAAUUCUUUUGCGUAGAUCAUAAUACUGUCUGGACCUCCGGCCUGGGCUCCUCGGCCCUUCGCUUGGGACACCCACGAGUCUGAGUCCAAAGUGUUCCCCGCCCGUCCCCGUCUAGUAGCAUCCAUCACAGUCCUGUUCUCACAGACACCUGCACCCAGAAAUCCUCCAACUUCUGCCCAGCCCCGCGGAGCCUCCUGGGGCCUGGAGAGUGACAGAAGCCAAGCGUUAUGACCUAUGGUGUUGGUGUAAAUUUCACCCCCCCACGCACAUACACUCACGUCUCCUGUUGUUUUUAUUCACUCAGCUUCUCCAGCGACGGAGGUGAUCGUAAAUACUGCGACCGCCACCCCACCCCCGACAGCUGCCCAAAGUCCGGCGAUGCCAGGCACCACCUCUGCAGCGCACGCCCCAGGCGAGCCAACUGGAAUCACAGAUACAGCCACUACUGCAGAGACAGUCGUGUUUCUCACUCGUCUUGUGACCAACAGCCCAGAUGAGACACAGCAAACAGUGGGCACCAUUAUCAUAGUGGAAACACUCACACCUGGCCAUGCCGGAGGUGGGCCCACCCAGGCCUCAGUUUCCCUUCUAGGCAUUAGCCCAGCUACGGCCUCUGCAACAGCCGUCAGCACUCCACUAGAAGAGACAGUCGGUGUUUCUGGUCAAGCAGCUCCCACCACAAAUGCAGCAAGUUCCACCCCCAUGGCAGACAUGCCGACAGCUGUCUUCUCGACCCUGGCCCCAGAGGAGACCUGGAGUACGGUGGGCUCCUUCAGUACAGCAGAGCCAUCCAGAGGUGUCCCCAUGACGACCGAGCUAGCUGACAGUACAGCAGCCACGCAUGCCACUGUCACGAGACGCCCAGCAGAGACUGAAACGACGGUGAUCAGCAUCGUACCAGCAGACGCUGCGACAGCCACCCCUGUCAGCACCACCCUUCCCAGUGCCAUAGCAACCUCUGCAACACCCACGGAAACAAGUACCGCAGCAGAGACCACCAGGCCUGCCUCUGUGCCAACUACCCCCAGUGCCACCAUGACGAGAGGGGGUCAGGCUGUAGUAGUACAAACAUUCACCACUGUCUUUUUCUCUAUCCCAGCUGAGCCCUCAACAGCAGAAACCACCGGCACGACUGCAGCAAAACAGACACUGGCAACUGCCUCUGACCCCUCUUUCGUAGUCAGAACCGUAACAGAAUGGGAGACAGCAUCCGGCGAAACUGAAACUACAGUGAGCAUCACAACAGCAGCGGGGAGCACGAUGGCACAGCCUGACCCCAGUGUCUCGGCGGGGAGCACAGGAACAGACCCUGCAGCUCCAGCGCUCUCCACCACAGACCCUCCCACCCCAGCGCCCAGUGAAACUCCAGCUGUACCGGCCACCACGACAGCAGCCACGGCCACUGGAGCAGCCACUGUCACAAGCCAGCACGUUCCAAGCACAGCCGCCGAAGCCACCACCCCCACAGCAGAGGCCAGCCCAGCAGCCCCACCUAUAGUGCAAUCCACACCAAAUGCAACCCCAGCUUUACUGACCACCACCUCGGCAGCAGAGACCACCAGAGCCACUCCUGACAUCACCCCACCCCUUGGAACCACAAAGACAGCAACCCCGACCACAGCAACCCAGGCUGUCCCCACGCCAGCUGACACGACACCCAUGGCAACUCUGACCAGCGCAGGAGAAACCACCGCAGCAACUCCAACAACCACCGCACCCCUGGAGACUGCUGCAGGAAGAGAGACACUCACAACAGCCUCUGUCGUUGCCACGCCAAACACAACCACAACUCAAGGGGCUGUCCCCACAGCGACAGAAACCAGCCCUUCAGUGCUUGUCACCCUCACCCCGCCGAGGGUGACUACCACGGCUGUUCAGACCACCGCACCAACGUCUGUCACCGCGUCCCCAAUGGAAACAGCAUCAACAGUGGGCUCCAGCACAGAAACCACCCCGGUGGCCAACAGCCCCACUGGUGUGUCGAGUACUGCAACAAGCGAGAGCACAGCCCCAGCUCCUCGCACCACGGCAGCAGAAAGGGGAACUUCAACGGGCACCAUGACAGAGACACUCAUCACCAGCACAACAGCUAAUACCACAACCGCCGUCAGCACCACUGCAGCAACAGAGGUUCCCCAAACACUCCGUACUACCACCGUCCCAGCUGGAAACACAACGGUUACAUUCCCAGCUACGGGAGGAGGGACAAACACAACCGCACAGGAUACCCCCCCACCGGCUCUAACUACACCUAUAGUGCAAUCCACACCAAAUGCAACCCCAGCUUUACUGACCACCACCUUGGCAGCAGAGACCACCAGAGCCACUCCUGACAUCACCCCACCCCGUGGAACCACAAAGACAGCGACCCCGACCAUAGCAACUCAGACUGUCCCCACGCCAGCUGACACGACACCCAUGGCAACUCUGACCAGCGCAGGAGAAACCACCGCAGCAACUCCAACAACCACCGCACACCUGGAGACUGCUGCAGGAAGAGAGACACUCACAACAGCCUCUGUCGUUGCCACGCCAAACACAACCACAACUCAAGGGGCUGUCCCCACAGCGACAGAAACCAGCCCUUCAGUGCUUGUCACCCUCACCCCGCCGAGGGUGACUACCACGGCUGUUCAGACCACCGCACCAACGUCUGUCACCGCGUCCCCAAUGGAAACAGCAUUAACAGUGGGCUCCAGCACAGAAACCACCCCGGUGGCCAACAGCCCCACCGGUGUGUCGAGUACUGCAACAAGCGAGAGCACAGCCCCAGCUCCUCGCACCACGGCAGCAGAAAGGGGAACUUCAACGGGCACCGUGACAGAGACACUCGUCACCAGCACNNNNNNNNNNUCAUCACCAGCACAACAGCUAAUACCACAACCGCCGUCAGGACCGCUGCAGCAACAGAGGUUCCCCAAACACUCCGUACUACCACCGUCCCAGCUGGAAACACGACGGUUACAUUCCCAGGUACAGCUAGCCCCACUGUGGCUGCACCGAGCACUCCAGCAACUCAGAACUUCAGUGCAGCUCCAACCACGGACUCCGCUGCUAGGCCUAACUCCACAGCCCGGCCCGGGAUCCCAGAUGUCACGACAGAAGAGCAGACAACAGCGGUGCCCAGCUGCCACCCUCCAGCUGCCAACACACGUAAGGGCUGUAACUGCUUGGGGCAAAUCCUCAUCCGAGUGGCCGGGCUGUGUGCUGGCAACCGAGGGAAAGGGGUCCUCUUGCCAGGCCACGCUAUGGCAACUGCUGCAUCCCCGGAGCCUCUGCCCUUGAACGGCUCGUGGAUCUGGGUAGUCGCAGGCCCACCAGCCCUGCCCCCGGCUGAUUCCUCUCCUCCCCAGCUACGGGGGAUCUGGCAGCAAGGGUUUCAGCCCAGAUAAGCCCGACAUUCCACAGGUGCCUUUGUGGUUUGUAGUUUUUAAUCCCCCUCCCCCAGAUCAGCUGUGCCAUAAAUUCAGAGAACUCGUCUCUUGCUUUCUAUGCACAAAGGGGGUCUGUUCUCCAGCCGGGGUCUCCGGGGAUUUCUGGCGAAGGACCAUGGACCAGGGCACGAGCUGAAUGUCCAGUUGCCGUUCCGGCCUGUCUCUGGGGAGCCGGAAAAGCGUUCUGGUACAAUCGCUUACAAGGGAUUGGUCUAGGAGACCCCGGAGUCCUCACCCACUGCCACCGGCAUGACACACAGUGACACACAGAGCCUGUGAAUCGAGGGCAGAGCUGGCCCCAAGGGUUGGUUUAGGGAUUAGAAAUGAGAGGAAGGGUGGUCUUGUGAUAAGGCAUCGGGCUGGCUUCAAUUCCCGGCUUUGCUGCAGACGCCCUGUGUUUCCUUGGGCGAGCGACGCAGGGUCUGUCUACACUGCAGUUAGACACCCGUGGCCGGCCCGGGCCAGCUGACUCGGGCUAAGGGGUGGUUCAUUGCGGUGGAGACAUUCGGGCUCCGGCUGGAGCCCAGGCUCUAGGACCCCAUGGGGUGGGAGGGUCCCAGAGCUCGGGCUGCAGCCCAAACCUGUCUACACUGCAGUUAAACAGCCCCUUAGCCUGAGCCCCACGAGACCCAGUCAGCUGGCACAGUGCAGACGUACCCUGAGUCUCUCUGUGCCUCAGUUCCCCAUCUGUACAAUGCUCUUGUCUAUUUAGAUUUGGGGCAGGCUCGUUCUCGUCCAAUAAGUAUGUACAGCACCUAGCGCCAUGGGGCUCUGAUCUUGCUGGGGGCGUCUAGAUGCUACUGGAAUGGAAAUGAUUGGUAACCUAAUAAUAAUUUGCUCUCUCCAUUCCU
This is a long non-coding RNA of Chrysemys picta bellii (western painted turtle), 4554 nucleotides long. The record is from Ensembl. Lineage: Eukaryota; Metazoa; Chordata; Testudines; Emydidae.